Molecule: ribosomal RNA, 253 nt
Filed under: uncultured bacterium
Lineage: Bacteria
Description: partial 16S ribosomal RNA
Rfam family: Bacterial small subunit ribosomal RNA
Source: RNAcentral
UACGUAGGGUGCAAGCGUUACUCGGAAUUACUGGGCGUAAAGCGUGCGCAGGCGGUUAUGUAAGACAGGUGUGAAAGCCCCGGGCUCAACCUGGGAAUGGCGAUGGAUACUGGCUCGCUAGAGUGCGGUAGAGGAGAGUGGAAUUCCCGGUGUAGCAGUGAAAUGCGUAGAGAUCGGGAGGAACAUCAGUUGCGAAGGCGGCUCUCUGGACCAGCACUGACACUGAGGCACGAAAGCGUGGGGAGCAAACAGG